GGGGCCAUAGCUCAGUUGGGAGAGCACCGCCUUUGCAAGGCGGGGGUCGCCGGUUCGAGCCCGGCUGGCUCCA
RNAcentral lists this transfer RNA (73 nucleotides) under Gemmatimonadota bacterium. Its description in RNAcentral is "Gemmatimonadetes bacterium (hydrothermal vent metagenome) tRNA-Ala". It matches the Rfam family "tRNA". Rfam says of the family: Transfer RNA (tRNA) molecules are approximately 80 nucleotides in length. Their secondary structure includes four short double-helical elements and three loops (D, anti-codon, and T loops). The record is from RNAcentral. Lineage: Bacteria; Pseudomonadati; Gemmatimonadota. RNAcentral also lists the same sequence under 3 other names.